UAGCUCAGUGGUAGAGCAUGUGCUUAGCAUACACAAGGUCCUGGGUUCAAUCCCCAG
This 57-nucleotide transfer RNA is filed under the name Camelus bactrianus (Bactrian camel). It matches the Rfam family "tRNA", at positions 8 to 63 of the family's 71-position model. From Rfam's summary of the family: Transfer RNA (tRNA) molecules are approximately 80 nucleotides in length. Their secondary structure includes four short double-helical elements and three loops (D, anti-codon, and T loops). Further hydrogen bonds mediate the characteristic L-shaped molecular structure. tRNAs have two regions of fundamental functional importance: the anti-codon, which is responsible for specific mRNA codon recognition, and the 3' end, to which the tRNAs corresponding amino acid is attached (by aminoacyl-tRNA synthetases). tRNAs cope with the degeneracy of the genetic code in two manners: having more than one tRNA (with a specific anti-codon) for a particular amino acid; and 'wobble' base-pairing, i.e. permitting non-standard base-pairing at the 3rd anti-codon position. The record is from Rfam by way of RNAcentral. RNAcentral also lists the same sequence under 3 other names. Lineage: Eukaryota; Metazoa; Chordata; Mammalia; Artiodactyla; Camelidae.